Molecule: ribosomal RNA, 468 nt
Filed under: uncultured bacterium
Lineage: Bacteria
Description: partial 16S ribosomal RNA
Rfam family: Bacterial small subunit ribosomal RNA
Source: RNAcentral
GACGAACGCUGGCGGCGUGCUUAACACAUGCAAGUCGAACGGAAAGGCCCUGCUUUUGUGGGGUGCUCGAGUGGCGAACGAGUGAGUAACACGUGAGUAACCUGCCCUUGACUUUGGGAUAACUUCAGGAAACUGGGGCUAAUACCGGAUAGGAGCUCCUGCUGCAUGGUGGGGGUUGGAAAGUUUCGGCGGUUGGGGAUGGACUCGCGGCUUAUCAGCUUGUUGGUGGGGUAGUGGCUUACCAAGGCUUUGACGGGUAGCCGGCCUGAGAGGGUGACCGGCCACAUUGGGACUGAGAUACGGCCCAGACUCCUACGGGAGGCAGCAGUGGGGAAUAUUGCACAAUGGGCGGAAGCCUGAUGCAGCAACGCCGCGUGCGGGAUGACGGCCUUCGGGUUGUAAACCGCUUUCGCCUGUGACGAAGCGUGAGUGACGGUAAUGGGCAAAGAAGCACCGGCUAACUACGUG